Molecule: ribosomal RNA, 867 nt
Filed under: Kocuria sp. PVC(14d)4
Lineage: Bacteria; Bacillati; Actinomycetota; Actinomycetes; Micrococcales; Micrococcaceae
Description: bacterial SSU rRNA
Rfam family: Bacterial small subunit ribosomal RNA
Source: RNAcentral
AGGAACGUUAUCCGGAUUAUUGGGCGUAAAGAGCUCGUAGGCGGCUUGUUGCGUCUGCUGUGAAAGCCCGGGGCUUAACUCCGGGUGUGCAGUGGGUACGGGCAGGCUAGAGUGCAGUAGGGGUAACUGGAAUUCCUGGUGUAGCGGUGAAAUGCGCAGAUAUCAGGAGGAACACCGAUGGCGAAGGCAGGUUACUGGGCUGUUACUGACGCUGAGGAGCGAAAGCAUGGGGAGCGAACAGGAUUAGAUACCCUGGUAGUCCAUGCCGUAAACGUUGGGCACUAGGUGUGGGGGACAUUCCACGUUUUCCGCGCCGUAGCUAACGCAUUAAGUGCCCCGCCUGGGGAGUACGGCCGCAAGGCUAAAACUCAAAGGAAUUGACGGGGGCCCGCACAAGCGGCGGAGCAUGCGGAUUAAUUCGAUGCAACGCGAAGAACCUUACCAAGGCUUGACAUACACCGGAUCGUUCCAGAGAUGGUUCUUCCCUUUUGGGCUGGUGUACAGGUGGUGCAUGGUUGUCGUCAGCUCGUGUCGUGAGAUGUUGGGUUAAGUCCCGCAACGAGCGCAACCCUCGUUCUAUGUUGCCAGCACGUGAUGGUGGGGACUCAUAGGAGACUGCCGGGGUCAACUCGGAGGAAGGUGGGGAUGACGUCAAAUCAUCAUGCCCCUUAUGUCUUGGGCUUCACGCAUGCUACAAUGGCCGGUACAAUGGGUUGCGAUACUGUGAGGUGGAGCUAAUCCCAAAAAGCCGGUCUCAGUUCGGAUUGGGGUCUGCAACUCGACCCCAUGAAGUCGGAGUCGCUAGUAAUCGCAGAUCAGCAACGCUGCGGUGAAUACGUUCCCGGGCCUUGUACACACCGCCCGUCA